GCCUUCAGUUUAAACCUUCAAAAAUUAUGCUUCUGCCUUUGGGUCAUGUAAGAGAGGGAGAACACUGGCAUUUCUAAGAGAAGAAGCUAAACUGUCAGAAGAUAGUUUUAAAAAGCAUGAAAAUCUUGAAUUUUUAUUUCAGUUUGAAUACCAAUGCUUUGUGCUGUUGCUUUUGGCAAAGCUGUAAAGCAGAGGAGAGAGAAUACUAUUUAUGACAAAUAAUAAAUUAAUAAGGCUCUUCACUAAUGGUAGCCUUGUUUCAGUUAGAUUCCAGAUAAGCCAAGUGCUAGGAUAUGUAUUGUUCCUGUACUACUGAUUCUAAUGCUACUUGUUGGAGUGUGAAACUUUGUAAUCGCCUCUGUCAGCUGACCCUUUGGAAUACAUUUGUUUUUCGCCAACCCACCCCAAGGUUGGGAGGUAAAGGAAUAAGAUGUUCACUGUUUGAAACACAGUUGAAAAGAUACCUUUCUGUUGUUCAUUAUUUAUAGCCAGCAAAUGCAAGAGAAAUAACAGGUGAUAAAUUAGUUGUGUAUUUUUAAUGCUGAUAUGUUGUGAUAUUUCUUUAGUAAAAACUAAUUAGCAUGUAAGACUGAACAGUACGUUAAGUAAUGACAUAAACAAUCAAGCAGAAAUGUUAAAUGUUAAGUAUGAUUUCUGAUGCUUCUGACAGUUCUCAUCUGAACUUUCUUCAUAGCUGUCAAAGGAUGCUAGAAAUAAUAUCAUCUUUGGCAAAUGGGGCGUUUUAAGGGUUAUGUUGUAAACAUAGUUCUCUUUGCUUUGAUUUUUGAGACAAGAGCAACUGGGCAAAUAUUGCAUGCCAUUGUGAAGGCUUGGUCAAUUAUUCUUUUCCUAAACACAGUUGAAAUUCAGAAUCUUGAUUGCAAUAUUCAGAAAUGAGAUUUUUUUUUAUGGUUGGACAGUACUGAAGCAGAAAACGAGACCCUAGGGGAUUUUUUCAAGCCAAAAAGUAAAGUUGCCAGUGAUUACAGGCACUUCCGAAGGUGUGAAGCUGCUGAGUAUGAUAACUUUAUCAAAACUAUGGAUUAAGUUGUUUAGGUACUUUAUUGUUCUUUUUCUUACUUUUCUUUAAACAUGUUAGUAUUCUGUUUCAUUACAAAACAAUAUUGAGAUAGAUGCUCUCAAAACAGCUUUAGACAAUAUGUGAAAUGUGAAAAAAAAAGGUAUGAAUUAUUAGGUUUAAUUAUUACUUUACAGUUGGCUGAGUAAUGUACUUUGGAAAAAAAGUAUUGUUAGAGAUCUAACAUGUACAUACUCUCAGAAAAUAUGGGAGUGCAAAAAAUGCAAGUGGUUUUUAUUAUGAUC
RNAcentral lists this long non-coding RNA (1323 nucleotides) under Numida meleagris (helmeted guineafowl). RNAcentral describes it as "lncRNA (ENSNMEG00000013226.1)". The record is from RNAcentral. Lineage: Eukaryota; Metazoa; Chordata; Aves; Galliformes; Numididae.